UCUCAGUUCGGAUUGGAGUCUGNAACCCGACUCCAUGAAGCUGGAUUCGCUAGUAAUCGCGCAUCAGCCACGGCGCGGUGAAUACGUUCCCGGGCCUUGUACACACCGCCCGUCAAGCCAUGGGAGCCGGGGGUACCUGAAGUGCGUGACCGCAAGGAGCGCCCUAAGGUAAAACCGGUGACUGGGGCUAAGUCGUAACAAGGUAUC
This 207-nucleotide ribosomal RNA is filed under the name uncultured bacterium. RNAcentral describes it as "partial 16S ribosomal RNA". It matches the Rfam family "Bacterial small subunit ribosomal RNA", at positions 1286 to 1500 of the family's 1533-position model. The record is from RNAcentral.